CUGGCCAAUAUACUGUACGGUAUACCCACUACAAUACAUUAGACUACACCACUGAUACCUACUACAGAGAAGGCUACAUGCAAUUUGACCAAAGGAAGUAGCAGAACAGUUUGCAAUGUUUAUGUAAAGUCUGUAUUAUGGAUCCUGUCCUAUCACAGAAUGUGAGUCAGCUGACUGAGUAGUAAAUGAGCACUGGUAGUAACUCUUGAGACUGUAGGCAUCUACCCAGCUAAUGCAGUGACUCUGAAUGAAAGCUGGAGCCAUUUUCUUCCUACAUGAAACACUGAUAGUGUCCGGUCUCUAAUUUCAUAAUGCCUAAUUGGUUCUGUGAUACUACCAUCACCUUGCUCUAAUGAAUGGCAAUUACUAUCUAAUAUGACAUUCCUUUCCUGUGCUUUUGAAUCCUGUUCCUGUAUGUUUUGCCUUCUAAAGUUUUGUUUGUGACAUUCAUCAAUCAGGGGGAGCUGAGUGAUGUACAGCAAGAGCCACCAGAACCUGAGGAAUCCCUUCACCUUUUUGAGGUUUUACCACCUUCAACUCCCCAGAAAUCCAAAACUGCCAUGUUCAAGGUUCUAUUGCCUUUGCAGCUGACAAGUUCUGCACAGAUACCAACAUGCACUAAGCCAUGUUUUGCCCUUGCACCCACACGGACACACCAAUCGGACAACUCAAGGUACUGCUCGAAGUGCCUGCACUUUGAGUACCAAUCCAUUCAGGCACGCACAAUGUUGGCCAUUAUGGACCAUCAUGAAUAUGAUGACUCACCACGUAAACAGGAAGCAACCGCUGCAGGCCUCCAAAGACACAACAUUGUGUACCAAAAAGAGUCAAAACAGUGGAUUGCAAGACCUAUUCACACAAAGACAACCCAAACUUUCAGAGAUGACCUUAUGGAGGAAUUUAUUAAAAGAAGACUGGACCCCUCCAUCAAAUAUAAAGACUCAUCAUCUCACAUCCAAGUCCCAUGUCUGGCAGCAAAAUAUUGGCCUCCUACCACACAUCCACACAUCCAGAUUAAAAACUUAGUUGUAGACCUUCAGUGCC
Molecule: long non-coding RNA, 1044 nt
Organism: Perca flavescens (yellow perch)
Lineage: Eukaryota; Metazoa; Chordata; Actinopteri; Perciformes; Percidae
Exons: 3
Source: RefSeq, a predicted model, not a curated record